GCCUGAUUGGCUCAGUCGGUAGAGCAUGUGACUCUUGAUCUUGGGGUCAUGAGUUCAAGCUCCACAUUGGGCA
Molecule: transfer RNA, 73 nt
Filed under: Canis lupus familiaris (dog)
Lineage: Eukaryota; Metazoa; Chordata; Mammalia; Carnivora; Canidae
Also listed under: 1 other name
Rfam family: tRNA
About the family: Transfer RNA (tRNA) molecules are approximately 80 nucleotides in length. Their secondary structure includes four short double-helical elements and three loops (D, anti-codon, and T loops).
Source: Rfam by way of RNAcentral